Molecule: unclassified non-coding RNA, 2530 nt
Filed under: Ooceraea biroi (clonal raider ant)
Lineage: Eukaryota; Metazoa; Arthropoda; Insecta; Hymenoptera; Formicidae
Description: uncharacterized LOC105285762, transcript variant X1
Source: RNAcentral
AUGUUGUAAUUCUGUAUUGUAAUUAAUUAUUGUAUUGUAUUGUAAAAAAUUAUGUGUGAUAAAAUAUUAAUAUACUGUUUAAUUGCUUUACUUAACAUGACAACCUUAAUUUAAUUGUAAUUAUGAUCAAGGGAAACGAUAGUAUCUCGCACCAAGUGCGAUGCAAUGACGCCCAAGUGGCGAAACUGCCCCGUGUAUGAUACGUGAAGCAAGUAAAUGAGUGUAUCGUUAGUUAGCAGAUUAGUGUCACCAUUAUUGGCAGAUCUCAGUAACAGAUGAACAGUGUUCACCACGUGGAGGUUGCUGAUUGGAUUUGCACACCUUGUUGCCCUGAAAAGGGCCGAUUGCUCCGCUUUACACUAAUCCAUGAGAUGUUCAAAAUGUCCUCCAGCAUUUUAUAAACAUAAUAUAAUUCUUCUUCUGAAAUUACGUACUUACUGCUUCUCGUAACGUAUCUCGAGUAAUCUCCAAACUUGCUCUUCUUAUUUUUUGCAUCAUGUUUUCUCUUGUAGUUGGCGCGUCUUCGUAAACCACAUUUAUCACAUAACCCCAGAGAAAAAAGUCAAGGGAAUUCAAGUCUGGUGAUCUUGGAGGCCAGAGAAUAGAAAAACAUGAUGCAAAGAAUAAGAAGAGCAUGUUUGGAGUCUCACAUAAUGUUUCAACAUUUCGUAUCUUCAUCAUUCACAUGGUAUCUGUACAACAAAUAUAGAUGUAUUACAACAAAUAUAGAUAUAUUACACCAAAAAAUUCACACGGAUGUUAUGUAUUCUCGUACGAUGAAUAUUCUUCAACGUCUCAAAGUGGACUGAUCUUUCAGCCGAAGGCGAUAGUCAAAUGCGCUUGCGCUUCAGAAAUAAAAAUUUAAACUAUGUCUGUGUACUUUCCUUAUUACGUUGUUACAAUUUACUUAUUUCACAAAAUGUUUUUUAUAUACCAUAACGAUACUCCUAUUAUAUUGAUUAUGAUGUAUGUAAAAUACCACUUGUUUUUCACUCCAUAAUGAUAGAAAAUUAUUAAAUGAUAGAAAUUACUAAAUUUCAUUCAUCUUUAUAUUUUGUCUUAACAACAAUGUAUAGAUAUAGGUAUAGUAGAAAUUUUAUAAAAAUGAAGACAUUCAAUGUAGUUGUCGGAAGAUCCGUCAGUCGUUAUUGACAAAGUUCCUCCGCCGCGCGAAAUGGUAUUUGCUGGCGAACGUUGUUUUAAACUUCAUCGUAUUAUGCUUAUCGCUAUGGGAUUGUGGCCGUAUCAGAAACCAUUUAUUUGGCGAAUGCAAGCAGUUUUCUUCUUCAGUGUAUACUGCUUCAGUUUAUUUUCUCAAUUUACACCGUUCUUUACGAGACCUUGUAACAUGGAAUGUAUCCUGAAAAGAUUUUCUUAUAUUUGUAAUACUUUCGUUUAUAUCAUGAAUUACUACUCGUUCUAUUUCAAUUCUGACGCUGUAAAGCAAAUGUUUGAACAUAUGCAGCUUGACUGGAAAAUAUUUAAAAAUAAUGAUGCAAUGAACAUAUUUGAAGAAUAUCUCUUUGAAUCUUAUAUUUUCGCAGUAUCUACAAAUAUUCUUGUUUUAAUAGGUGGAUUUGGCUUUAUCAUUAUUGAAUGUAGAUCUAUUAUUCUUGAUAUUAUUAUACCAAUGUUGACUCACAAAUCACGACCACGUCAACUUGAAAUGGAUCUUGAACUUUUCGUCGAUAAAGAACACUAUUUUUUUUUGUAUUUAGGGCAGGAGUUACUAGUAAUAGGGAUCGGUACUUGGUCGAUGCUUACGACUGGAACAUUCCUAACUACAGUAACAAAACACUCAUGUGCAACAUAUAAAAUUGUUAGUUAUUUAAUCCAAAAUACAGUAACUGUCCAUACGCUACAACUUCCUGUUGUUCAAAGAAUACAAUACAUGCGUCGGAAUAUUUGUCUUUCAGUUUACCUUCAUAGAAGAACCUUGGAGUUCUGCAAAGGCUUGUUACUUUCGUUUGAUAUGUGGUAUUUCCCAUUACUUUUAGUUGCCGUCUUGUCUUUAAGUUGCAUUCUAUUUCGCCUAUACAAUGCUAUAAUUCAGUUCGAUGAGUUGUAUGGUAUUUUAGUGUCCUGCAUAACUUUAGGUUGUUAUUUCGUGUAUAUGUUUAUGGGAAAUUUUCUUGGACAAACUUAUACCGAACAUAGUGUAGAAGUAUUAGACUCUACGUAAGUAAAGCAUAAAAAUAAUUUUUAUAUAUUCUUAUAAAUUGUAUAUGUAUUUUAUGAUAUAACCUUGAUUUAAACAUAUUUAUUAGACAUAUAGUAGACAUUUUGUUUCUGAUUAUCCUUUACAGUAACAUUUACUUGUGCAAAUAUAAAUACCAAUAUAUAAUAUUUGCUUUUAAAUACAUAAAUAUUUAUUGAAAUAUAGUAUAUUGUAAUGAAAUAUAGUGUGUUGUCAUCCCAUAUAACUGUGUGUGUAUCUGGAAUAUGAUACUCUUUGGUAUGUAGCACCAUUACCGAUUCAGAAAUUGUUCUUGAUUAUGCAAAAAUCUAUAAGGAGCCAUAAAAUAAUAUU